RNAcentral lists this ribosomal RNA (502 nucleotides) under uncultured bacterium. Its description in RNAcentral is "bacterial SSU rRNA". It matches the Rfam family "Bacterial small subunit ribosomal RNA", at positions 28 to 530 of the family's 1533-position model. The record is from RNAcentral.
GAUGAACGCUGGCGGCGUGCCUCAAACAUGCAAGUCGAGCGGGGCUAUGUAAUAUCGCAAGGUAGAACAUAGCCUAGCGGCGAACGGGUGAGUAACACGUGGGUAACCUGCCUGGAAGACAGGGAUAACGAUUCGAAAGGGUCGCUAAUACCUGAUAAUAUCCUUUCAUCGCAUGGUGAUAGGAAGAAAGGGGAAACCCGCUUUCAGAUGGGCCCGCGUCCCAUCAGCUAGUUGGUAAGGUAAAGGCUUACCAAGGCGACGACGGGUAGCCGGUCUGAGAGGAUGUACGGCCACACUGGGACUGAGAUACGGCCCAGACUCCUACGGGAGGCAGCAGUUGGGAAUCUUAGGCAAUGGACGAAAGUCUGACCUAGCGACGCCGCGUGAGGGAAGAAGGGCCUUCGGGUUGUAAACCUCUAGUCAUGGGGGAAGAAGGAAGUGACGGUACCCAAGAGGAAGCCCCUGCUAACUACGUGCCAGCAGCCGCGGUAAGGUACUCUAU